AGAGUUUGAUCAUGGCUCAGGAUGAACGCUAGCGGCAGGCCUAACACAUGCAAGUCGAGGGGCAGCACGUCUUCGGAUGGUGGCGACCGGCGCACGGGUGCGUAACGCGUAUGCAACCUACCUUACACUGGGGUAUAGCCCGGAGAAAUUCGGAUUAAUCCCCCAUAGCACUUAGAGAUGGCAUCAUUUUUAAGUUAAAGUAUUGCGGUGUAAGAUGGGCAUGCGUCCUAUUAGCUAGAUGGUAAGGUAACGGCUUACCAUGGCUACGAUAGGUAGGGGGCCUGAGAGGGUGGUCCCCCACACUGGUACUGAGACACGGACCAGACUCCUACGGGAGGCAGCAGUGAGGAAUAUUGGUCAAUGGGCGCAAGCCUGAACCAGCCAUGCCGCGUGCAGGAAGAAUGCCCCUAUGGGUUGUAAACUGCUUUUAUUUAGGAAUAAACCUUUUCUACGUGUAGAAAGCUGAAGGUACUGAAUGAAUAAGCACCGGCUAACUCCGUGCCAGCAGCCGCGGUAAUACGGAGGGUGCAAGCGUUAUCCGGAAUCCUUGGGUUUAAAGGGUCC
Molecule: ribosomal RNA, 564 nt
Filed under: uncultured Flavobacteriia bacterium
Lineage: Bacteria; Pseudomonadati; Bacteroidota; Flavobacteriia
Description: bacterial SSU rRNA
Rfam family: Bacterial small subunit ribosomal RNA
Source: RNAcentral